AUUGAACGCUGGCGGCAUGCUUUACACAUGCAAGUCGAACGGUAACAGGCCUUCGGGUGCUGACGAGUGGCGAACGGGUGAGUAAUGCAUCGGAACGUGCCCAGAGGUGGGGGAUAACGCAGCGAAAGCUGUGCUAAUACCGCAUGUGAUCUGAGGAUGAAAGCGGGGGACCAGGCAGCAAUGUUUGGCCUCGCGCCUUUGGAGCGGCCGAUGUCAGAUUAGGUAGUUGGUGGGGUAAAGGCCUACCAAGCCGACGAUCUGUAGCUGGUCUGAGAGGACGACCAGCCACACUGGGACUGAGACACGGCCCAGACUCCUGCGGGAGGCAGCAGUGGGGAAUUUUGGACAAUGGGCGCAAGCCUGAUCCAGCAAUGCCGCGUGCGGGAAGAAGGCCUUCGGGUUGUAAACCGCUUUUGUACGGAACGAAAAGGCUCUGGCUAAUACCUGGGGCUGAUGACGGUACCGUAAGAAUAAGCACCGGCUAACUACGUG
Molecule: ribosomal RNA, 492 nt
Filed under: uncultured bacterium
Lineage: Bacteria
Description: partial 16S ribosomal RNA
Rfam family: Bacterial small subunit ribosomal RNA
Source: RNAcentral